Carassius auratus (goldfish) is the source of this 3708-nucleotide long non-coding RNA. RefSeq lists it as uncharacterized. The record is from RefSeq and is a predicted model, not a curated record. The transcript is spliced from 2 exons. Lineage: Eukaryota; Metazoa; Chordata; Actinopteri; Cypriniformes; Cyprinidae.
UUAUGUAAACAAAAACUUAUUUUGAAUGCGAUUAAUCACGAUUAAUCAUUUGACCACACUACUAAUUACAUUUGUCUAGUUUAAUGUAAUACGAUUUUUUUUCCGUCAGUGAUAGAAAAAUUAUUUAAAUCGUUAGUGUAAGCAGGUUUAUUUUGAAAAAGUUUAAUUGCAAAUAUGACACAAUUUGACAAUUUUUCAAUAAAAUAAGAGUAAGUAGAGGAAAAAAUUAUUUGCUAGGACUGAUGGAGUGAUGAAUGCUGCACAAACACGCACGCAUGUGUGAAAUUCGGAUGUGCUACAUCCGCCAUGUUGUUACUAUCACAUGACCUACCAGUAUCAGUUGCAUGCUUCACUUCCAUGCUCUCCCGUGGCCUCAUGGGAUAGAAAAGUGUCCAUCUAAUGCACGCUUCUGAAAGCAGCUGAUCCGGUUAAUUUUUUUGCUUACUGUUUUUCGAAUACUAUGAAUUCUGACAUACUACUCACUGCCUACACUGUUUUUCGCCUACUAUAUAGAAGGGAAGUAUGCGAUUUCGAAUGCAGCUUAAGUGUGUAGUGUUGGACACUUCAUGCACUCAACUGUUGCAGCUUAAAUUACGUAGCGAAGGGGAGGGGCUAUCAAACUCUGAUUACGAAUUAAAAAUAACCUUAUAAUACAUACACUGAUUGAGUGCAUAGUGAAUAGUGCCUCAUUUGGGAUGCAGCUUCCAGGAAAACAAAUAAAUAAAUAUAGAUGACAUCAUCCUGCACCAGACGGAUUUUUGUCCAAUCGGGUGCUGUCUAGAAUGAGCAUACUGGCUAAUUGCCAUUUUCUUUAACACUGAAUGAAUAUUUAUGUAUUUAUUUUCUUACCAUGUUCUCAUAAAUGCUGGUUUAACAUUUCUACAUGAUAUUGAAUGUUUAUUGUACCACACAGGGUAUUUACAGACAUUAUAUUUUAGGUCAACAAUAACCAGUCGGUGAACCUCCACUCUUUUUGACCUCAAACUUUGUGUGGAUUAUAAAAUCAAAAGUAAAACAAUGUCUUUAAAAAGAUACACAAACAGAAAUGUAGCUAUAUAUAUAUAUAUUAAUAAUUAAUAACAUUAUAUAAUUAUGUAUUAUGAAAACGUAAAUUAAUACAACAGUGAAUCUGAUUACAGAAAAUAAGCCCCAGUAUAUUUACAUGUGAGGUAUGUAUUAUUAUUUUAAGUCUCAUUAAUGUAUAAUAAUUGUUCUUGUCGCCCUCGUCUUAUGUAUGUCAAUUUUCUCAUGUUCUGGGCGCGCCCUCACACACGUAUAAACCGAAAUAAACAGACUAUUUUAGACUGAAGUUGUCAUAAAGUCUGACUUUGACACGGUGCAACUCGAAGGUCUCUCUGCUGGCUGCAGUUCUUCUGUCUGCCGCUAGAGACACAGUGGCGCUGCGGCGCACGACAGGUGACAUCACUGGAGCGGCACGAGACCAGCAGAAAAUUAAGGCUGUAUCUUUCAUCUGUUAAAUAUGCAAAGAGAUUGAUGUUUCUCAAUAGGCAUGGGUUCGUUGUGGUUUACAUAAAUGAAAACCACUUCCUCUGCUCAUCUCAGUAAAGUGAGUAUCUGGAUUCUUUCCCAUUGUGUUUUCUCAUUUCUAUGAUCUCUUAAUCCUUUUGUUUUUACGUUUGAUUGCAGCAAUCGUGAGUUCAGCUUCUUUUUAUUAAAGUCGGAUUGAGUCCGAGAGGAUCCCAGUUCAGAAAACUCUCUUAAUUUGUUGUCAACCUUAUCAGUAUUUAAUUCAUAAUUAUUAACUCAAGUUAAGAACAACACUGCAUAUAAUAUAAUGCAAAUAUAUGAAUGAAUCUUAAUUCAGGUGAACCGAUUCGCGACUCGGUAGUGUGAGGGAUGACUGCUGGAGUUAACUAAAUAUAAUUUAAUUUUGUUCUUAAAUGUUUUAUCUAUAUUUAGGGUGUUAGAGAUUUAAAUGGGUAAUAAAAUAAAUGAAAAUAAAUUGGUACACCUUGGUAAAAGCAUAUGACACAAAUUUCAGAGGAAUGUCUUUGGGGAUGUUCAUAGUCAACUCAGCCAAUUAACUAUAUUAAAUAUAAGUAAAUGAACUGAACAUAAGGUAGAUUAACUAUUUCUUUCAAAACGGUUAUCCAAGUGUUUUAUGACACACACACACACACACACACACUGUUCCUAAUGGUUCUGUUGUUUCUCUUGCAUACGAGUUUCUUCCUCUUUUUCUUUUGGGUUAGUUCCAGCCCUCCUGUGUUUCACUUUAAUAACGCCUACAGUCACACCACACACACUUUAACAUCUCACCUUCUUUCACUGUAUAUAUACACACACACACACACACACACUUGCUUUCAGCUCUCAUAGCAAACCAUACUCUCCAGCAAAACAAAACCUGGGCUUAAGUUCAAGCUGUUGUGCUUUAGUUUGUUUUUAACCUCAACUUCACCAAAUGUACAUGUAAACCUGAUGAAACAUGAUUUCAGUGUGAGGACAAAUGCGUGUACUGAGAGUUGAGUAGUUCCUGAAACUGUUCGAGUAUGUUGUUAGUCAUGCGUGAUUGCACAGCAAAUAUAACAGAUGCGUUGAACCCAAACUUCCUGUUGUUGCUUGUGUGUUUCCUGUGUGUGGGUUUUAGCGUCUGAGGUUAUGCAGACACACAGUUGAAGCUGUUACAUACAAACACACACACAAAGCUGGGUCAUCAUCUCAUAGACUAUUAAAACAGACAAUCUGUGAUCAGUGUGUCUGAUGAUGACUAGUGAAGAGCACCUUCAGACUUAAAUUGCUCUAAUUCUGGGUAAUAUUUUGAAAGGACAACAAAUGAGAAGAGGAUCGAGAAGCACAGACGAUCUGGACCCAUUUAGAUGCUUCCAUGCAGAGAUGCAUUGUCCUCUGAAUCACUAGUUUACUGGGAUUCAUUAUGGCAUGUGGAUUUUUUAAACCCUGAAUUUUGGUAAUCCAAAAUUUCUUGUCACAGACAUUAAGCCUGUUUUGAUGGGUGUUGCUUAUGGUUUUCCCGUAACUGAUGAUCAACAUCCCGUCAAUUAACCAUAAAAAACAAUGUAUUCAAGGAGUGAGACAUUCUCAUUAUAGAGUGCCUUUUAUAGAAAGUGAUGAUUUAAGUGUGUUCUUCCGAAAAAUUAGUGCAAAACUUUAGUCAGUGUGCAGGUGUACACCUGAAUACGAAUGAACUCGAAACUAACAUUAAAAAGGCACAACGCUCCCAUUUUGGUUGUAGUUUUUAAGUUUGUCUUCAAAAACACUACUUUUAUAAUGAAAAAAUAUAUAUAAAUCAAUAAAACACACACAAAAAAACUUGUUCAGCUUUGUAAAAAAAAUCGUUUUAUUUUUCCUGGCAAGGUAAAGAGAGAAAAGUGUGAUUGUUUUUCUUUCAGAGUCUCAGUGCAGAUUUCCACACGCAGCCGUCGUUCUCCGCCUCGCCAUCCUUCCUUACGUCACUUCCUGUCUUUGCUUUCAGCUCGCUCUUAUUUAAAAUCCGCCAACAAACAAAUAUUGACAAGAAAAAACAAGACGCAUGAUGAAUCCAACAGUUUUAUCAGUAAAUUUACCAGCAACGUCCUUACAAAAAAUAAAAGUAGCAAAACAAAAACUGCAUGACAAGCGAUAAUCCAAAUUUAAAUUAUGCAUUUUGCUCAAAUAGAAUGUAAUUGUUGUUAACUCGGUUCUAUUUAAGUAACCGAAAUUAGCAAUAGCAGCAAAACUAAAAAAAAA